Molecule: ribosomal RNA, 274 nt
Filed under: uncultured bacterium
Lineage: Bacteria
Description: partial 16S ribosomal RNA
Rfam family: Bacterial small subunit ribosomal RNA
Source: RNAcentral
AUACGGAGGGUGCAAGCGUUAUUCGGAAUCACUGGGCGUAAAGGACGCGUAGGCGGGUUGGCAAGUCAGAUGUGAAAUCCUACAGCUUAACUGUAGAACUGCAUUUGAAACUGCUAACCUAGAGUAUGGGAGGGGGAGAUGGAAUUAGUGGUGUAGGGGUAAAAUCCGUAGAUAUCACUAGGAAUACCGAAAGCGAAGGCGAUCUCCUGGAACAUAACUGACGCUAAGGCGUGAAAGCGUGGGGAGCGAACCGGAUUAGAUACCCGUGUAGUCC